UCGCUGUGAAGAUGCAGUGUACCCGCGGCAAGACGGAAAGACCCCGUGAACCUUUACUAUAGCUUGACACUGAACAUUGAGCCUUGAUGUGUAGGAUAGGUGGGAGGCUUUGAAGCGUGGACGCCAGUCUGCGUGGAGCCAACCUUGAAAUACCACCCUUUAAUGUUUGAUGUUCUAACGUUGGCCCCUUAUCGGGGUUGCGGACAGUGUCUGGUGGGUAGUUUGACUGGGGCGGUCUCCUCCCAAAGCGUAACGGAGGAGCACGAAGGUUAGCUAAUCCUGGUCGGACAUCAGGAGGUUAGUGCAAUGGCAUAAGCUAGCUUGAC
This 326-nucleotide ribosomal RNA is filed under the name Klebsiella quasipneumoniae. RNAcentral describes it as "partial 23S ribosomal RNA". It matches the Rfam family "Bacterial large subunit ribosomal RNA", at positions 2048 to 2373 of the family's 2925-position model. Lineage: Bacteria; Pseudomonadati; Pseudomonadota; Gammaproteobacteria; Enterobacterales; Enterobacteriaceae. The record is from RNAcentral.